GACGAACGCUGGCGGCGCGCCUAACACAUGCAAGUCGAACGAGAGAGAGGGAGCUUGCUUCCUCAAUCGAGUGGCGAACGGGUGAGUAACGCGUGAGGAACCUGCCUCAAAGAGGGGGACAACAGUUGGAAACGGCUGCUAAUACCGCAUAAGCCCACAGCUCGGCAUCGAGCAGAGGGAAAAGGAGCAAUCCGCUUUGAGAUGGCCUCGCGUCCGAUUAGCUAGUUGGUGAGGUAAUGGCCCACCAAGGCGACGAUCGGUAGCCGGACUGAGAGGUUGAACGGCCACAUUGGGACUGAGACACGGCCCAGACUCCUACGGGAGGCAGCAGUGGGGAAUAUUGCACAAUGGGGGAAACCCUGAUGCAGCGACGCCGCGUGGAGGAAGAAGGUCUUCGGAUUGUAAACUCCUGUUGUUGAGGAAGAUAAUGACGGUACUCAACAAGGAAGUGACGGCUAACUACGUGCCAGCAGCCGCGGUAAAACGUAGGUCACAAGCGUUGUCCGGAAUUACUGGGUGUAAAGGGAGCGCAGGCGGGAAGACAAGUUGGAAGUGAAAUCUAUGGGCUCAACCCAUAAACUGCUUUCAAAACUGUUUUUCUUGAGUAGUGCAGAGGUAGGCGGAAUUCCCGGUGUAGCGGUGGAAUGCGUAGAUAUCGGGAGGACACCAGUGGCGAAGGCGGCCUACUGGGCACCACUGACGCUGAGGCUCGAAAGUGUGGGUAGCAAACAGGAUUAGAUACCCUGGUAGUCCACACAGUAAACGAUGAUUACUAGGUGUUGGAGGAUUGACCCCUUCAGUGCCGCAGUUAACACAAUAAGUAAUCCACCUGGGGAGUACGACCGCAAGGUUGAAACUCAAAGGAAUUGACGGGGGCCCGCACAAGCAGUGGAGUAUGUGGUUUAAUUCGACGCAACGCGAAGAACCUUACCAAGUCUUGACAUCCCUUGACGAACAUAGAAAUAUGUUUUCUCUUCGGAGCAAGGAGACAGGUGGUGCAUGGUUGUCGUCAGCUCGUGUCGUGAGAUGUUGGGUUAAGUCCCGCAACGAGCGCAACCCUUACUGUCAGUUACUACGCAAGAGGACUCUGGCAGGACUGCCGUUGACAAAACGGAGGAAGGUGGGGAUGACGUCAAAUCAUCAUGCCCUUUAUGACUUGGGCUACACACGUACUACAAUGGCGUUAAACAAAGAGAAGCAAGACCGCGAGGUGGAGCAAAACUCAGAAACAACGUCCCAGUUCGGACUGCAGGCUGCAACUCGCCUGCACGAAGUCGGAAUUGCUAGUAAUCGUGGAUCAGCAUGCCACGGUGAAUACGUUCCCGGGCCUU
This 1331-nucleotide ribosomal RNA is filed under the name uncultured bacterium. RNAcentral's name for it is "bacterial SSU rRNA". It matches the Rfam family "Bacterial small subunit ribosomal RNA", at positions 28 to 1382 of the family's 1533-position model. The record is from RNAcentral.